Molecule: non-coding RNA, 5764 nt
Organism: Equus caballus (horse)
Lineage: Eukaryota; Metazoa; Chordata; Mammalia; Perissodactyla; Equidae
Source: RefSeq, a predicted model, not a curated record
GGAUGGUGGCAGUGGGCAGCCACAGAGCAGAAAGUGGCGGACUUGGGCGGCCACAGGCAAGGAGGUGGAGGCACAGAGAAGUUCCAGAACUUCCCUAAGAUCAUACUGUUGGUAAGUGGCAGAGCGAGGAUCUGAACCCAGGCAGUUAAUUUGUUCAUUCACAGUUUUGAACUCCUCUUCUGAGACAGGCACGGUGCUGGGGGUUCACAAGACCAUGAUGAACUCUUAGUGUUGGUCCUUCAUGGACAACUUAGACUUCACGGAGUCUAAUGUUUGUUUCUGACUCCAAUACCAGCUUUCUUCAUAAUCCUCUGGAUGGUCUCUUAGUGGUACACACACUUUAAAGUCUGCCAUUGUCUGUGACCCCACCCAUUACCAUACCAGAGACCACGACCUUCACCUCUGCCAUUUCCUGGCUAUGCUGGGACACCCUCAGUAGCAGUGUCUCCGUGCAGCAAAGUACAAUGGCCAUUUUCUAGGGCAUAUACGACAUGUACACUCCAGGCCUGCUUUCUUUGCCUAAUUAGUGUGGGAGCAGUAAACUCAAAUUUGCAAGUCCUGUGAGGAGAGCUUACUAUGGGCGUGAGAAGCCAUUCUGAUUUCUAAGUAUCUUAUCAAUAGCAAAUAUUUGCAUGUUGGUUUUCACCCCUUGAUAAUUAGAACCUGAUCUUCACAGAUUCUGACAUAAUGAUCGCUUCCUGUGAAUCCUGAAAAAAACAAAGCAAAAUUAGCUUGCACUUUACCUACACAUAGGGAAGCACCUUAAAGGGGUUUCCUUAUCCUAUAGCAUUGCACACUUCCCCACAAGGUGGUUUAUUUCCCAACUGAAAUUUCCUUCUGAUAGUGUACAUAAAUCCUGAACUUUGUGCUCUUUGACUAAUUCAUCCCUUGCGUGCCUUUGAGCAAACUCUGAAGGACAGACGUGGCUUCUCUGGCAAUGACCAACUUUCAGUGGCCAUGGAAAGGGUGAAUGACCACUUACUUGGGGUAGAGUAAUACUAAUGAGUGGUAAUAGUGAUAAGUAUACUGAGGGCCUGCUCUGGGCUAGUCACUGUGCCAAACGCUCUACAUGCAUUGUCUCAUUUAAUAAUUACAGUGGCCAUAGGUAUGUAUUAUGAUUACAAGUAACAAGGAAGGAAGCUUGUUCGCAAAAUGUAAAUAACUUACUUGAGGUCACACAGCUAACAAAUGGCAAUGCUAAGAUGCAGAACCAGACCCAUCAGGUACUAGAGUCUGCAUCAGGCAGGAUGUGGAAGCAAAAGGCUAUUUGGUCUUUAAGGUUUUGUGAUUGAGAUGUUCUGCUCUACUCUGCUUUGAACAAAGAAUAUCAGAAGUGUUACCUUGGGUUCCUCUGGUCACGGUACUUUAAGUGGGAAAAUAAACAAUCUGAAGCAGGUUUUAAGGCUAAUAACCAGAGUGGAGAGAUGCUCAAACCAUGUCAUGUGAGGAGAGUUUAGGGAACCAGAAAUAUUCAUAGGCAGGAGUUGAGGAGACUAGGGCUGGGGAAUUGGGAGGGAGAGUAGGCUAAUUGGCUUCAAACAAUUGAAGGACUGUCCGAGGCAAGAAAGACUAGGCUGGUGUUGUGUGGCCAAUGAGGACCAAUAAGAAGAAGUUGGAGAGGAACAUAUUUUGAUCCCAUAUACAGAUGUUUAUUAUCCCUCAGACUGGAAAGUGGUGGAAAGAAUGUUUGAAUGCCAGUUCCAUCACUGCAGUAAGCAUUUAUUGUUUUUCUUUCCAGAGUCCUUUCCUCUUUAUUCUGAAAGCAAUGGUCUGAUUUCCUUUGGGGAAAUAACAUUUCCUCAUUAAGAGCAGUCUAGGUGGGAUAAUCAGUCAAGUUGUACCAUUCACCCUGGGCCAAGAGUUGAGCAUGUGACCCAAGUUGGCCCAGUCAAAUUCUUUUUCCUAGGACACUCUAUCUUGAGCUGAGUAACAUAAGCAUGGAAACAUGGCUGGGGCUGAUUCUUCCCUGAGCAGAGCCCUGACCCAGGAGGACACCAAAAUACUAGAAACACACUUAUGUAUUAAACAUCUCCUUCAGGCCGUGUUUUCCCACCGUUUUCUUCCAGACUUUAAGAAGAAUCAUCAAGAAUUAUAUCUCAAACCUAAAUUCCUUACGACAUGAUUUGCCCUUAAGAAUAGGAUUAUUACCAUCCCUGGUCCUACCCUUCAACAUUCUCUCAAUUUUAUGAGCUACCUAUGUCUUCCCAAUAAAUUCUCUUUUUACUUAACUUAAUAGAAAUGUUUUUCUAAUGUCAGCAAAGUGUUCUAACUGACACAACCAUUAACUAGAUGUGUGGCUAUGAUCUUGGAAAACAAUUUCACCUCUCUGAGCCCUAGUUCCUUCAUUUGAAAAUAAUCCCAGUAGGUUUUAGAGUCUAACAUGAGAUAGCAUCUACAAAGAGAAAGGCACAUACUAGGUGCUCAACAAGUGCUGGUUGGCUUCUGUUUCUCCUCUGAAAUAUAAAUGUUCUGUUUUCAGAAAAAUUGAGAGAGAUACUAUAUGUAAGGUAGUGCCUAGCACAUAGCAGUGCUCAAUAACUGGUAGCUAUGGAAAUGAUGUGAUUAUAAUUUUCUGGCAUGGGAAGUAUUCAGUCUGGACUGGAAAAUCAUUGGCCAGGGAUAUACAGAGGUUAUUCAACCAUGGGAUGGGUGUUUGGACAUGAUGACCUCAUUUUUUUCCUACACUAAGAGUCUGUGAUUCUAUAUUAGAGAGAUUUAGCAUUGUCUUUAAGGAUGUGCAGCUCCUUUAAAGCAAAAUGGCAGAGACAAUAGGCUUGGUAUGAGGACUGAACAUGGUUGGGAAGAUCUCUGGGGCUGAUGUCCAAGCCAACACUGAGGAGGGGUCACUAACCAACCUGCCCGGAGAGAGCUCUGACGAUCACCCAGGUUAGUGUCCAUAAAGACUAACUCACUCAGUGCUUCCACCAUGGUUUUGUCUUAAUUAGGAACAGAGACUCAUUCAAGUUGUUCCAGAAAUAAUGGACUUUAUUGAAAGGACACGUAUACAUGGGAACUCUGGAAGAGCCAAGGAACCCAGCCUCAAGAAAGGCAGAAAUUAAGGCAACUCUGUGAUAAGCUCUUUUCACAUUUCCAGUUCUCCCCCUCACAGCAAAGUCUCUCUCUUUAUAUUGCCUCCUUUAUCCUCUUCCUUGCCAGCUGGCUAUUUCUUGUUAUCUGUCCAUAAAUGGCCAUUCAGUCCCCAAAUCUGCAUGAUCUUCUGGGUCCAGCCACCGUAACUAACGAACCUCUGGGUGUCUUUACCUAAAUCCUGAGAGACAGAUUUGACUGGCUUAGCUGUUGAGCCAGGCUAUGUCACAGGCUACCGAUGCGCCAUCCCUGAGAUCUGUGUCCUCACCAGGUACAAUCAGCUGAGUCUGGGGAGACAAGCUCACCUCCUCUGCUACCCACUCAGCAGGAGAUGUGGACUGGUCAGGAGACAUUAGCAAUAUUUGGUAAGAGGCAUCUUACCUGUGAUGAUACCAAAAUAUAAGAUACAUUCCUGUAUAUUAAACAUCUCCUGUAAGGUAUAUUUUCCCACCAUUUUCUUCCAGUCUUUAAGGAGAAUCUCCAAGGCUUAUAUCCUCAACCCAAAUUCCUUAGAUGUGGUUUGCCCUUGAAGCAAAUUUCCCGUGACAACAUGGAAAUCUCCCUUCUGUGGUGGGUACACAAGUCAACAUUGAAGCAACUGGGUCUUCAAACAUGUGGUGUAAAAUUGAGCUAGCACUAAAGUGUUUCAACUGAAAGGCUCUGGUUUCCAGUUGAAGGAGAAGUGGAAGGAGGACCUAAGGCCAUGGGAAUGGGAAGAAGACGACAAUAAGAAGUAAAGGGAGCUGAGUGAGAGAGCCAGGAAGGAACGAGAGGUCAGACGGGAGCUGCAGCUAGGAGUGGGAGGAAAGCCAGUGAAGACGAGAAACCAGAUAAGAACUGCUGCUCCCACUUUGGGUCCCAGAAUACCUAGCGUGAAACUAGAAAAAGAGUACAGAGAGUCAGGUAGACUGAGAGAACUGGGCUGGGUGAGGGCUCGACCCCAGUGAUUGUAUUGAGUGCCAGCUAUGUACUAGGCAUGUAAGAUCUCUCCUAGGCUUGGAGCUGUGUUUAUUGUUAGACUCUAAUUGUCAACUUGCAUUCAGUUUGAACACUUGUAAGUUCUUAGCUACUAUGGUCUCAUGGACUCUGACUAAAGAAAAGUUCAGGGUAAGAAGGAGGAUAUAUUUCUAAGACCAGCGAAAUGUCUAAAACCAUAGGUAACACAAGGGAGAGUGGAACGCUCUAGAAAGGUCCUUGAACCUAAUAUUCCUUGAGAAAUUUUGAAAGCCAACCCACAGAUUGCCCUGUAAUUUGUCAUAGUCUUGCAUGCCAUUCACAUGCCUGUGGGAUCCAACCCCAGGGCUGGACUUGCAUCUUUCCAAUUUGUUUUGAAAUACUCCUUUGACACAGUGUCUCCAAGAAAACAUUACCACAAGUUUCUCUUAGGAGUAGGAAGUUUAAUGGAUUACCCUGGGCUAACGAGAGGAUUCUGGGCCCGGAAUUCUGGGCCCACACUCUUCAAGUCUGAGGAUUAAUCCUCUUCUAAGGGGUGGGUAAGCCUCUGCUGGUUGAUUACAAAUGUUCCAGAUAGAAAUCUUUAAGGCAGGAACUUUGCGAACAACAAAAACAACCACAGAAAAACUCUAUAGAAGGCCUUACCUUAACUCAUUACUUACUCAACUUUGUGAAUUUUGAGGACUUAAUGAGGCAUUUUAAAUAAAGAAAUAAGUUACUUAAAGGCUAAGGAUAUGUGGGACCAGCUUAAAUUGGGCAAUGAGAAACCUAAAUUGCCCUUUCAGAAUAUUAUUCACCCUAUAAAAACAAAUCGUAUUUGUUCCCAGUAAACAUGUCAGGACAGCAGCUGGAUAAGACAAGUGUAGACUGGUUGCUGUCCAAUCUGCCAACUUUCAGAUAAAAGACCGGGAUCUGAUAAGCGACAGAUUACCCUGAGAACAUUUGCGGCGGGAUCGUUUCUGCUUCAUCAUUUCAGUGCCAAACGUACAUGCACUGCACACCUAUCAUGUACCAGGAGCAGAGUGUGGUGAUUCAGAGUGUAAUCCUGGAGGCAAAACAACUUGGGAUGGAAUCCAUUCCCACUACAUGUUAGCUCUGUGACCUUGGAGUUAUUGAAGAUGAAAAGAGAUGGCAAGAGGAAAAUCUAGUGCCCAGAAUACAGGAAGCGCUCAGUCAAUGAGAUGGACUGUGGGAGCUAAGGACAGAAUGAUGCGUUGAUUCAUCCAUCUACCCAUCCAUUCCACAAGUACGAAGCUCCUGCUGGAUGCUGAGCACUGGGUUAGGCACCAGGAACCCAAAGAAGAGUAAGACAUGGUGCCCACUGUCAAAAGCCCAGAAAGAUGACAUAUAAUAUAAUGUGGUAAACACAAUACUUGACACAUAUAAACAAAGUAGAAUGGGCAGUAGAGGUGGGAAUUACCAACUCUGCCUGUAGAAGACUUCACAGACAAGGUGCCUGGAGAAAUUCCUAGAGGUCUCUGGAUUUUUAUGUAUAUGGGCAUUCAAGCACAUAUAGAUUGGUGGUAGGAAAAUAUUUACCAAGAGUGAGGGUGGGAGCCAACAGCUGGUGCUAAGAAUGGUGGAGCAGGAAGAAAGGAGGACAGCGUCAUUGCGAUUAUUGUGGAGCAACCAUCUUGAUCCUGAACUCCAAACUUCUUUUAUAGGAGAGAAAAAUAGACCACUCCUCAUUUUUCACAGGAAGGGAGAGAAGGAGGAAGAGAAA